GGCAGUGUAGCAUAAUGGGCAUGGAGCUGGCCUUGAAACCCAAAGGUCCCAGGUUCAAUCCCUGGGUAGGACA
RNAcentral lists this transfer RNA (73 nucleotides) under Anguilla anguilla (European eel). RNAcentral's name for it is "tRNA-OTHER". Lineage: Eukaryota; Metazoa; Chordata; Actinopteri; Anguilliformes; Anguillidae. The record is from RNAcentral.